Vicugna pacos (alpaca) is the source of this 2982-nucleotide non-coding RNA. NCBI's taxonomy places the organism in Eukaryota, Metazoa, Chordata, Mammalia, Artiodactyla, Camelidae. The record is from RefSeq and is a predicted model, not a curated record.
UAGACACCCAAAGGAGGUGUGGAGUCAGCAGGUGCAUAUGAAAGGAUCUGCUGUUCAGGAGUGAGGCCUGGACUGGAAACAGGCAUUUGGGAAUUACCAGCGUGUGGAUGGCCUUUAAAGCAAGAGACUGGGUAAGAGGGCCGAGGGCAUGAAUACAGAGACCAAGAACACAGACGGGAAAGUGAGACCAUGCGUGGAUGGGGUCUGUAAGCGAAUCUGGGUAAAAUACCACCAACCUUGGAGUGAAAUAAAUGACAUCUUGGUUUUGUUUUCUUCUUAAUUUAAAUGAACCUUUAACUUUAGAAUUGUUUUAGAUUUACAGGAAAGUUGCAAAGACAGUUUAGAGAGUCCUUGCACCUCUCCCCCAGCUUCCUCUAUGCGAACACCUCACUUCACUCUGAUACGUUUUUCGCAGCUAGGAAACAGGACCGGCACUCUACUGUUAACUAAAUGCUGCAGCUUCGUUCCAGUUCCACUCAUUUUUCCUGAAGACUUUUGUCUUGAUCCCACCCUUCAGCUUAACAUUCAAGUCCAGCCUUUGCUCACAUGUCCAGCCUGACCUCUGGGUGACAACUCCCUUCCUCCUGCCUUCUCUUCCGAGACUCAGUGGGUCGCCCGGAUGAGCUUUCAGGGAGACUUCAAACCAAGGGAGGAGGCCUCGGAGGAGUGGGGGCAGGGAAGCCGCCUUCAAGAGAUGGAAUUCCUCUCGUUAUCAGAGCCUUGAGGCUCUCUCCCCAACCCAGCCUGAAAACUCCCUCCUGCCCCACUCCGUUUACACCAAAGGGAGGAGCCUCCUGAGCAUCGUCUUCAUGCUGAGAAAAAUUCUGGGAAGUACAGGAAAUGCAUGAUUUCAGUCAAAUGGCCAGUGUUGACUCCCAGGCCCAUGUUUUGUCUUGAAUUUUUUUUUUUAAUGGAGGUACUGGGGAAACGCUCUACCACUGAGCUAUAUACCCCAACCCCUUGUCUUGAAUUUCUGCAUUCUUUUCAGUAGAAGCCGAAAGCUCUGGGAGGAGGGCCAGCGGACUUUAGCUCCUGGAAUCUUGAGUUCAGAUCCGAGCUCUGAAAUCCAUCUUGGACGAGGCCUUCACUUUUGCAAGUCUGAAAGGGUUAGAGUCCAAGUCAUCUGGAGAUGAAUUAGGUCUAAUUUCCACCACGUAUUAAAAGAAAACUACUAUAACAGUCCUUACCCUCCCCGCUUCUCAGGCUUGUAAUAAGAGUCAAGUCUGAGAGCCGAUGUUUGUGAAGGGCACUGUUCCUUCCCUCAGCGACCGCUGAGCGACUCCCCUGCCAGCACAGGGCUCAGCUCUGUGCUCAGGGAGGUGUGGAACUGAAAUGUUGAACUGAAUUGAACGAAUUAGAUGUAGAAAUGAAAAACCAUCAACACAGUACAAUACACCCAGUCAAGGAUUUUUGUUUUUACUUAGCAAACACUUACGUGGUAUUUAUUUUGUUGUAGGCACCUUUCUAAACACUUAGCAAAUAUUAAGUCCCUGCGUUUAGGGGAAAAAAAGGCAGCAUGAUGACAGUGAAAAGUUUAAGAUUACGGAAGUAGUCUCGCCAACAAACUGCUUAGAGUUGAGGCUAUUCUUUGGCUUAAUAAAUAUUUGUAGAAUGCCUUCUACAAGCUGGGUACAUAUAUCUUAAUCUGAAACUGGGGCCCUGCUGUUUAAUCCCGUAGAAUGGGGUAGCUCUGCGGGGCCCUCCUGUAGUCACUAAUUAACGACUGCGUUUGCCACUGAGGCCGGGCAACCCAGGGGGAGCUCCUAGGGCCAGGCAGAGGUUUCUGUCCUAUUCUUAUCCCUUAAAAUGCAACCAGCCUCUUGUGCCAGGCCGUGGCCAGCACCAUUUCUGAAUAAUUUCUUAGUCCCACCUCACCGCUUUUUGUUUUUCUCCCAAUCAGAUUAAAACCUAUGAACUCUGACCCAGAAAAAUGUACAGAACAUACUAUUUUGCAAAUAAUGCCAUAGGGUUCCUAGCGUGCAGCUUAAAGCCCUGUGCUUUAGACGGAGGCCAGGAAGGGCUAGGGGCCCAGCCUUCUUUUCCCGGUAGGGUACUUUGUUUUAAACAACAAACGGUGUGCUUGGCCCCACAUCCUGUUUCACUGGCGGGAAGAAUAGGUUCCCCGCAGGGUUGAAGGAGCUGCCAUAGAAAUGCCAAACCAGUGGGACAAUGGGGAGAGGAAGAAAUACACUAGCACCAGGAAAGAACUGGAAGUUUCAGAGCUUACCUCGUCUCUAGGACAGAGAGUGGGGGCUGAUAUUUGGAGGUAGGACAAGUAAGUAUGGAACUCUUAUUAGGCACUCAAUUAAUGUGAUUUUCUUUCCUUCUGACUUUCCCAUGUUUGUCUACAUUUAUGUAGGUGCAUAAUCACCUAUGAGGAAGGCGGUGUGUGCUUCUGAAGAAGAAUGAAGAGAUUCUACACCUGGAUAUCAGUCAGGAGCUGGGGGGUUUUUAGGGACUUUGGGGUUUUGUGGGCUGUGGGAGGCUGGUGACCUUUGUGGUCUAGGGGAUUCCUUCCUUGUCCAUUUUAAUACUUAGAUUAAUAUCCGAGGAUACCUUUGUCUUCAAAGUUGCUUUUGACUUUGGAGAGCCUUAAGAGGUGUGGUCCAGAGUUGAAUCUGUCUCCUUUGGGCUGUUAGAAGUUCAUCACCCUAGACGCUUUCAAUCUUUUGAACAGUAGCAACUCAGACCUCAAGAUCAAGCUUGAGGGUCACCUUCUGUGUCUACAGGCUUCCCUGGUGUAUUGCUUUUCCCUCCUGUUCCCCCAAAUCCUGUCCUAAUAUCUUACGAAGGAAAAAGCGACAACUACAGAUCUACGUUGAAUCUCAGCUGCUUGUGUGUCUCUCUGUUCUACUCUGUCUUUAACUCUAGGGAACAUAGUGCUGAGACAAAGCCGUUGAUCAAUCUGGGUGCAAUGGGGGAACAAUGCACCUAAAUUUAAUCCUUUUGCAAACAAACAAGAAAUUAAAUAUAUGAAUCACA